GAUGAAGAACGUAGCGAAAUGCGUUAAGUAAUGUGAAUUGCAGAAUCCAGUGAAUCAUCGAAUCUUUGAACGCACAUUGCGCCCGCCAGCAUUCUGGCGGGCAUGCCUGUUCGAGCGUCAUUUCAACCCUCGACCUCCCUUUGGGGAAGUCGGCGUUGGGGACCGGCAGCACACCGCCGGCCCUGAAAUGGAGUGGCGGCCCGUCCGCGGCGACCUCUGCGUAGUAAACCAACUCGCACCGGAACCCCGACGUGGCCACGCCGUAAAACACCCAACUUCUGAACGUUGACCUCGAAUCAGGUAGGACUACCCGCUGAACUUAAGCAUAUCAAUAAGCGGAGGA
Molecule: unclassified non-coding RNA, 343 nt
Filed under: soil metagenome
Description: partial contains 5.8S ribosomal RNA, internal transcribed spacer 2, and large subunit ribosomal RNA
Rfam family: 5.8S ribosomal RNA (bases 1-120)
Source: RNAcentral